GGCGUUGUAGCUCAGAAGUAGAGCACCUGCCUGAAGAGCAGGGGGUCGGGAUUGCGAAAUUCUCCGACGCCACCA
Molecule: transfer RNA, 75 nt
Filed under: Rhodococcus pyridinivorans
Lineage: Bacteria; Bacillati; Actinomycetota; Actinomycetes; Mycobacteriales; Nocardiaceae
Description: tRNA-Phe
Rfam family: tRNA
About the family: Transfer RNA (tRNA) molecules are approximately 80 nucleotides in length. Their secondary structure includes four short double-helical elements and three loops (D, anti-codon, and T loops).
Source: RNAcentral